RNAcentral lists this ribosomal RNA (253 nucleotides) under uncultured bacterium. Its description in RNAcentral is "partial 16S ribosomal RNA". It matches the Rfam family "Bacterial small subunit ribosomal RNA", at positions 524 to 776 of the family's 1533-position model. The record is from RNAcentral.
UACGGAGGGGGCUAGCGUUGUUCGGAAUCACUGGGCGUAAAGCGCACGCAGGCGGAUCGAUAAGUCGGGGGUGAAAGCCCGGGGCUCAACCUCGGAAUUGCCUUCGAUACUGUCGGGCUAGAGUCCGGGAUAGGUGAGUGGAAUUCCUAGUGUAGAGGUGAAAUUCGUGGAUAUUAGGAAGAACACCAGUGGCGAAGGCGGCUCACUGGCGCGGUACUGACGCUCAGGUGCGAAAGCGUGGGGAGCAAACCGG